RNAcentral lists this unclassified non-coding RNA (182 nucleotides) under uncultured fungus. RNAcentral's name for it is "sequence contains ITS1". The record is from RNAcentral. Lineage: Eukaryota; Fungi.
UUGAUUGCUUGCGCUGUCUCUGAAGAUCCUCUGAAAUUCAAAAGUUUGGGUCCCCGGCGGUCCGCCGGCAGGGCCCCAGUGGGCGCCGGCCGGCAUCUCGCCGAAGCAACAGUGGUAAGUUCACAGUGGUUUAGGGAGUACGAGACUCUGUAAUGAUCCCUCCGCUGGUUCACCAACGGAGA